CGAGCGUUGAAAAGCUCGGGGAUGACUUGUGGGUAGCGGUGAAAUUCCAAUCGAGCCCGGAGAUAGCUGGUUCUCCCCGAAAUAGCUUUAGGGCUAGCCUCAAGGGGAGAGAUACGGAGGUAGAGCACUGAAUGUCCUAGGGGGUAUUGCACCUACCGAAGACUAUCAAACUCCGAAUGCCGUCAUCUUAUACUUGGGAGUCAGACUG
This 208-nucleotide ribosomal RNA is filed under the name Clostridioides difficile. RNAcentral's name for it is "partial 23S ribosomal RNA". It matches the Rfam family "Bacterial large subunit ribosomal RNA", at positions 783 to 991 of the family's 2925-position model. Lineage: Bacteria; Bacillati; Bacillota; Clostridia; Peptostreptococcales; Peptostreptococcaceae. The record is from RNAcentral.